CCUACGGGUGGCAGCAGUGAGGAAUAUUGGUCAAUGGGCGGAAGCCUGAACCAGCCAAGCCGCGUGAGGGAAGAAGGUACAGCGUAUCGUAAACCUCUUUUGUCAGGGAACAAAGGCGUGGACUAGUCCCCGGAUGAGUGUACCUGAAGAAAAAGCAUCGGCUAACUCCGUGCCAGCAGCCGCGGUAAUACGGAGGAUGCGAGCGUUAUCCGGAUUUAUUGGGUUUAAAGGGUGCGCAGGCGGCCUGUUAAGUCAGCGGUAAAAGCCCGGGCCUCAACCGCAGCUAGCCGUUGACACUGGCGGGCUGGAGUGGGAGAGAAGUACGCGGAAUGCGUGGUGUAGCGGUGAAAUGCUUAGAUAGCGCGCAGAACCCCGAUUGCGAAGGCAGCGUACCGGCUCCACACUGACGCUGAGGCACGAAAGCGUGGGGAUCGAACAGGAUUAGAUACCCUUGUAGUU
This 459-nucleotide ribosomal RNA is filed under the name uncultured bacterium. RNAcentral describes it as "partial 16S ribosomal RNA". It matches the Rfam family "Bacterial small subunit ribosomal RNA", at positions 338 to 795 of the family's 1533-position model. The record is from RNAcentral.